This is a non-coding RNA of Xyrichtys novacula (pearly razorfish), 135 nucleotides long. NCBI's taxonomy places the organism in Eukaryota, Metazoa, Chordata, Actinopteri, Labriformes, Labridae. The record is from the annotation of a GenBank genome assembly.
UGCCUUUAUGUGUUGCCCUUUCAUCGCUCUCCUGGUGACCAGGGUGUCAAUUAAGGCAUACAUCGACACUUGUGACUGUUUGUCUGUGUAAUGAGUUUCAUGUGACUCUUUACACAAACAGUUGCCAGGACACAG